UACGUAGGGUGCAAGCGUUGUCCGGAAUUAUUGGGCGUAAAGAGCGUGUAGGCGGCCCGAUUAGUCCGCUGUGAAAGUCCAGGGCUCAACCCUGGAAUGCCGGUGGAUACUGUCGGGCUAGAGUCCGGAAGGGGCGAGUGGAAUUCUCGGUGUAGAGGUGAAAUUCGUAGAUAUCGAGAGGAACACCGGUGGCGAAGGCGGCCAACUGGACGAAGACUGACGCUGAGACACGAAAGCGUGGGGAGCAAACAGG
RNAcentral lists this ribosomal RNA (253 nucleotides) under uncultured bacterium. Its description in RNAcentral is "partial 16S ribosomal RNA". It matches the Rfam family "Bacterial small subunit ribosomal RNA", at positions 524 to 776 of the family's 1533-position model. The record is from RNAcentral.